This 1066-nucleotide ribosomal RNA is filed under the name uncultured bacterium. RNAcentral describes it as "bacterial SSU rRNA". It matches the Rfam family "Bacterial small subunit ribosomal RNA", at positions 8 to 1064 of the family's 1533-position model. The record is from RNAcentral.
AGAGUUUGAUCCUGGCUCAGAUUGAACGCUGGCGGCAUGCCUUACACAUGCAAGUCGAACGGCAGCACGGGGGCAACCCUGGUGGCGAGUGGCGAACGGGUGAGUAAUACAUCGGAACGUGUCCUGUAGUGGGGGAUAGCCCGGCGAAAGCCGGAUUAAUACCGCAUACGAUCUACGGAAGAAAGCGGGGGAUCCUUCGGGACCUCGCGCUAUAGGGGCGGCCGAUGGCAGAUUAGCUAGUUGGUGGGGUAAAGGCCUACCAAGGCGACGAUCUGUAGCUGGUCUGAGAGGACGACCAGCCACACUGGGACUGAGACACGGCCCAGACUCCUACGGGAGGCAGCAGUGGGGAAUUUUGGACAAUGGGCGCAAGCCUGAUCCAGCAAUGCCGCGUGAGUGAAGAAGGCCUUCGGGUUGUAAAGCUCUUUUGUCAGGGAAGAAACGGUCUUGGUUAAUACCUGGGGCUAAUGACGGUACCUGAAGAAUAAGCACCGGCUAACUACGUGCCAGCAGCCGCGGUAAAUACGUAGGGUGCAAGCGUUAAUCGGRAWUWACUGGGCGUAAAGCGUGCGCAGGCGGUUGUGUAAGACAGGUGUGAAAUCCCCGGGCUUAACCUGGGAAUGGCAUUUGUGACUGCACGGCUAGAGUGUGUCAGAGGGGGGUAGAAUUCCACGUGUAGCAGUGAAAUGCGUAGAGAUGUGGAGGAAUACCGAUGGCGAAGGCAGCCCCCUGGGAUAACACUGACGCUCAUGCACGAAAGCGUGGGGAGCAAACAGGAUUAGAUACCCUGGUAGUCCACGCCCUAAACGAUGUCUACUAGUUGUCGGGUCUUAAUUGACUUGGUAACGCAGCUAACGCGUGAAGUAGACCGCCUGGGGAGUACGGUCGCAAGAUUAAAACUCAAAGGAAUUGACGGGGACCCGCACAAGCGGUGGAUGAUGUGGAUUAAUUCGAUGCAACGCGAAAAACCUUACCUACCCUUGACAUGGCUGGAAUCCUUGAGAGAUCAGGGAGUGCUUGAAAGAGAACCAGUACACAGGUGCUGCAUGGCUGUCGUCAGCUCGUG